This 411-nucleotide ribosomal RNA is filed under the name Triticum aestivum (bread wheat). RNAcentral's name for it is "partial small subunit ribosomal RNA". Lineage: Eukaryota; Viridiplantae; Streptophyta; Magnoliopsida; Poales; Poaceae. The record is from RNAcentral.
AUGCUUCUUCGGGAUCGUAAUGGGACUGUGAUGCUUGCUGCUAUUAGAGGACUUGUGAACUGCACUGAUGCGCUGGAAGCAGAAGUGGCGGCAAUCCAUGAAGGUAUUAUAUUGGCCCUAAGCUGGACUGAGGUGGACCUCAUAGUGGAGACCGACUGUGCAGAGGCUGUGCAUUUGAUUUCUUCUAUAGAACAAGAUCGUUCAGCGCAUAGCCACAGAAUAAUGGAGAUUAGAUUGUUGCUGUCUCAAGCAAGGAGUAUUCAACUAGUUAAGAUCAAGCGUAACAUGAACUCUGCUAGCCACACUCUCGCGCAAAUGGGACGAAUUCAACAGCGAACUGCUUGUCGGCUGCGAAACCCCCCAGACGAGAUUGCGAGCAUCAUUGCCGCUGAUUGUAACAACAUUACUUGA